AAAAACUAUAAAUAUAGUGGUAGAAUAUUGCCUAUCACAGCCUGCAUCAAUAUUUCAAAACUGCUGCCCACUCAGUUGAUGACACUUCUCUGUUCUACUGAAGCCUGCAAGGGAAGCAGUCCUUCUAUCCUGAGAUGGGUGGGGAGCAUCAGUGUUCAGUAGAUUUCUAUUUCUCUGCAUGGCCUACAGAAUCAAUAUAGUAGAUUAAUUUAGUCCAAACCUAAUUUUCAGGCAGCUCCAUUUACUUUAGGUAAAAUGAAUGCUCUCCUCUGAAAGUGUGAAAUAGAGCAUGAAGAACUGAGCAAGCACCAGGAAGGACUUCCCAGACCUAGCAGCAGGCUCAGGAUGCAGCUAGUGUGUCCAGGCUCUGGCAUGGCCAGUCAGAAGAGAAAUUAUUCAUGGAUGUGGCAGAGGGUCUGCUGAGUACCGCGUCCAGCAAGGAAUGAAUGGGACUGAAGUGGAUGGAUACCAUCAUGGCAGUAGCAUCUUCCAGCAGAGGAUUUAUGCUUUCCCCUUUAUGAACAACAACAAAAAAAUUGUUCUCUGGAGUGUUGUUGGGGAGGGAGGAUCUGUAUGUCUUCCAAGUGGCACUGGAGGAGUGGGUAAGUUUUUGCCGUACAUUGGCAAACCUUACACUCAACCUAUGAAGGACUGAGUUUUUCUUC
Molecule: long non-coding RNA, 665 nt
Filed under: Cyanistes caeruleus (blue tit)
Lineage: Eukaryota; Metazoa; Chordata; Aves; Passeriformes; Paridae
Description: lncRNA (ENSCCEG00000008781.1)
Source: RNAcentral